UACUACAAGGACAUGCAUGUCUGCAAAAACAGAGUCGACACCAUGAAAACCUGUCAUGGGAUCCAGGAGUUUAGGUUUGGACACAAAGACAGACCUGAAGACUGGUUCUGAGGACCUGCUGACCCCGGAUGAACCGGAGGACCUGCUGAAGGAGGAGCACAACAGACCAGUUCAAGCAGAUCAAAGCCAGAUGAGAAGAACGAUCGAGGACCAGAAGCAUCAUGAUGGCAGAAUCCAGUCUGAGGGGGCGGAGUCUGGCUGCUUCAGCUGGUUUGUUCAUAAAUAAGUUGUUCUUAUUUAUCGUUUUGGUCACUGGGACAGCUCUGUUGAGGAUACUGCUGAUUUAGACGUUUACGACGAGUCUGAACAGACUCAGACACCUCGACAUUCAUCAAAGAUGUGAAAGUGCAUCCAAAGAAGUUUCAUGAUUGAAGAAAUAUCAGUAAACCAUAAAGAAUAAAUACUGACUGAUCGAGUUUGGAUCCAGGAGUACGUCCCAAACCCACAGGAGGAAACUGUAAAGUGAGCCGAGACCUUCACACAACCAGGAGCCAAUAGACUCCGCCUUCUGACGGGAAUCAUCUCUGCAGGUGGAGAUUAUGUGGCUGUGCUUUGAGAGACCAGCCGGAUCUUCUGGGUUCAGUGGAUUUCAUCCAUGCAGGAGGAUCCCUGUGAUCCCAGCAGACACUCCUCUCCACUUAUAUAAGCAUCCGACAGUUUCUGCACAGCUGAAAGCAACAUGCAUGUUAGAAGCUGUCAAAAACAGGCAUGCAAACGUUCAUGCUACUAUUUAUGAGGCUCUGCACAGGAAUGACUCACUUCAAUAAACCUGCAUUAAAAACCGCA
Oryzias melastigma (Indian medaka) is the source of this 846-nucleotide long non-coding RNA. RefSeq lists it as uncharacterized. The record is from RefSeq and is a predicted model, not a curated record. Lineage: Eukaryota; Metazoa; Chordata; Actinopteri; Beloniformes; Adrianichthyidae. The transcript has 2 exons.